This 382-nucleotide ribosomal RNA is filed under the name uncultured bacterium. Its description in RNAcentral is "bacterial SSU rRNA". It matches the Rfam family "Bacterial small subunit ribosomal RNA", at positions 28 to 400 of the family's 1533-position model. The record is from RNAcentral.
GACGAACGCUGGCGGCGUGCUUAACACAUGCAAGUCGAGCGGGAUCCAACCGGUGGCAACACCGGGGAAGAUCUAGCGGCGAACGGGUGAGUAACACGUGAGCAACCUGCCCCGAAGACUGGGAUAACACCGGGAAACCGGUGCUAAUACCGGAUGUCGUCAUUAGGCCGCAUGACCUGAUGAUGAAAGGAUUCAUCGCUUCGGGGAGGGGCUCGCGGGCUAUCAGCUGGUUGGUGGGGUAACGGCCUACCAAGGCGACGACGGCUAGCUGGUCUGAGAGGACGACCAGCCACACUGGGACUGAGACACGGCCCAGACUCCUACGGGAGGCAGCAGUGGGGAAUCUUGCGCAAUGGGCGAAAGCCUGACGCAGCAACGCCGC